GACGAACGCUGGCGGCGUGCCUAAUACAUGCAAGUAGAACGCUGAAGGAGGGGCUUGCUCUUCUGGAUGAGUUGCGAACGGGUGAGUAACGCGUAGGUAACCUGCCUGGUAGCGGGGGAUAACUAUUGGAAACGAUAGCUAAUACCGCAUAACAGUAGAUGUUGCAUGACAUUUGCUUAAAAGGUGCAAUUGCACCACUACCAGAUGGACCUGCGUUGUAUUAGCUAGUUGGUGGGGUAACGGCUCACCAAGGCGACGAUACAUAGCCGACCUGAGAGGGUGAUCGGCCACACUGGGACUGAGACACGGCCCAGACUCCUACGGGAGGCAGCAGUAGGGAAUCUUCGGCAAUGGACGGAAGUCUGACCGAGCAACGCCGCGUGAGUGAAGAAGGUUUUUGGAUCGUAAAGCUCUGUUGUAAGAGAAGAACGAGUGUGAGAGUGGAAAGUUCACACUGUGACGGUAUCUUACCAGAAAGGGACGGCUAACUACGUG
RNAcentral lists this ribosomal RNA (495 nucleotides) under uncultured bacterium. RNAcentral's name for it is "partial 16S ribosomal RNA". It matches the Rfam family "Bacterial small subunit ribosomal RNA", at positions 28 to 507 of the family's 1533-position model. The record is from RNAcentral.